GGGUUGUUGCGGGAUCUCACAGGCUUUAAACCGCGGCGCCGCGGCGCUCGGGUGUGGAUCCCUAGAUGGGAGCCGGGGAUGGGCCGGGUGCCUGGCGGGUGGCAGUCGGGGCCGACCGCCUCGGGCCCUGGACACCUUCACCCCGCCGCCUGCCCAGGCGGGCCGGCCCUGCCCGUCCACCGGCCGCGAGAGUCCCCGGCCUUGGGUCCCCGGGGCCGCUGACUGGCCUCGGUCACCUCCCGGGGAAGGCUCCCGCGCCUCCAUCUGCCCCCGCAGGAAGGGACCCUCUUCUCGCCCGCGAGGCUUCUCCGGGUGGGAUCGUCCUGGCCCCCAGCCCUAAGGGAUCCGCCCCCUCCGAGCAUCCGCCGCCCCUCGGAGACCACUCCAGCUCGGACGGAGCCACUCCAGCCCCCGCUGCACGCGGAAGCGCUCAUCCUCCCCGCCUGCCCCGUUCCCUCCCCCUUCUCCUGUGCGACAACCAGGGACCACAGCUCCCCGCUCCCCAGGUGUGGGGGCUCCGACACGAACGCCUCUGCUCGCAGGGCGGUGAGCGCAGAUCCCACGGGUCCCUCGGUCGGGGGUCGAGGCUGCUUCCGUUUCCAUCCCGGACCCGACAAUGGGCGGGAAAAAGAAGGCUUUACACGACUACGCGGCGGAGUUCACCGACCUGGUGGUGAAGCACCUGAUUGAGCACAGUGACUCUGGGGACACGUCUGUGGUGGAGACCCUUUACUGCAGGGCCUGCGAGCUGCCCGUGCGCGUGCGGAGGGACCGCAUCCUGGAACACCUGUCCUCGGGCAGGCAGCACGGCCUGCGGACGCCCAUUCUCAUGUAAAUGUCAGUGCCAACGCUGGUGUUUCAGGAGACAUCCCAGCGGGCUGCGGGCUAUUUUAGGAUUCUCUGCCCUGCAAACGUUUCCAAAGUGCGUGGACAGGCCGCCUGAUGACACUACGUUUACGGGAUCUGCUAGUGGCUUGCCUACUUAGGGAGUAAACCCUGUGAAGUCUCGCAGUUUUAUUAAAGUGUGCGUGGCCACCUGAAUGCUGCCUUAUCACAAGCCAGAUACAUACUGGUCUGCAGGGUAACUCCCCACUGUUGAUCCUCUGAGAUGAUUGUGGACUGGGUGCUGUGAGUCCUGCCACUUUGUUUAAGUGAAUGUGUCUUUUGUCCAGCUCAGCCGCCUCGGAUCUCGCUGCCACCAGCCUUACUGCACACCCGUGCCACCCGCCCUUGCCCCGUCAGCCUCAGCCUCAGCUCAUUCUCUCAGGCAGUCCCAGCAUUGGCACGGUACCUCCUCCCGCUGUGGGCCACACGUCUCUGCUCCCUGUCAACCCUACUGCCAUCAGCACCACCACCAGCGACUUGUCUGCCCAGGAGGAUGCAACACCAUCUGCCUCCACCGGCCACCUUUCAGUGUUUCCUGCUUUCCAAGUAAAGAUACCAGCAGUGCCCGCAGAGCAGACCAGCCAGAGAUUUUCUGAAGCCUCCCACAGGGUGCUCCCCGGAGGAGGCCCGAGAUGCUCUCGUGACUUUGGAGCCGGGGUGGCUGGCCACCUUGGCCUGGGCAUCUUUGGGAUGGGCUUCGGGAGCCCGGCACUGCUGCAGAGUGUGGUGGAUGAGAACAGCUGCUGCUUGCUGUACGUGGUGGAGGACCAGCUGUGUGAUGUGGAGCGAGCCUUCAGAGCUGAGCAUUUGGGCCAACACCAGAGUGGUUCGGGAACAGGAUGCAGACAUUGUCCUCAACGACCAGCGGCACUUUGAUCCGGUUUUCCAGUUCUUGCACAAGCAAGUUUUUGUCAGCCACGCCCUGGGGAGGAUCCACUGGAUCACCGCCGUCACAGCCUGUUCCCGGUGGCCUCUCCGGCUUCCCUAAAGAGAGCAGUAGCUUCCCUGGAGACCAGAAGCCAGAGCUCACCCUCCCUUGUGUCCAGGUGGGACUUUCUACAACGCUGCUAUGCACGACGCGGAUGCCGUAUGCAUGUUGCUGGGGGAAGCCACUCCGGACACUGUGUUUUCUCUGGGACAUGUCUUCUGCCCAGGUUGCAAAGGUGAAGAAACACAGUCCCGGCUGGAAGUCACAGCCAGGGUGGGAUGCACACAGAUUAGCAGAUCAUCAGCGAGCACCAGAUAUGGCCGCCUUAAAAGAUGCAGAUGCUGUUGUGAUCAGCAUGAAGUUUCCCUGUGAGGCUGUGGUCAGCGUGGACAUCAGCCAGCACUGCACAGACAGCUGCGACCAGGACGUCAGCCAGCACUGCACAGACAGCUGCAACCAGGACGUCAGCCAGCACUGCACAGACAGCUGCGACCAGGAUGUCAGCCAGCACUGCACAGACAGCUGCAACCAGAGACUGGAGGGAAAUAACCUCCUGAAAUCACCAAAGAGCAGUUCCUCAGGGCCUCCCGGGUGACCGUGGCUGUGGAGCAGUCGUGGUGGAACCGGUCAGAUGUGGACCUGCCCUGCGAAUCGGCAGAGGCCUCCGUGGUGAAGACAGAAGCUCCGUGAACCAACCCGAGGCUGGAGCCAAGAUCCUGCCGGAUAUCCAGUUGCCUGUUUCACUUGUUACUGUUACUGGGAGAGGGAGACAAAACCUCAUGGCGAUCUUGUCCUCACUGGAGACUCAGAAGGGGAAGCAUUGGGAAACCAUGUAUGUUUCAUUUCUGGUUUAACCAGGCUUUUCAGGAUGUGACUUCAGACCAAGGACACAAGUUGGGCUUGCUUAGGUGUUUUGUGUUGUGCGCAGGCCUCAGAGAUGCUCUUCCGGUCAGAGUUCCCUUGGCAGGGCCUUGGAGGCCUCUGGUUGGCUCUCUCAGGAAGAGGGCAGGUCAGGGAUUGGGCGCUGUAAAUUGACUCAGAAACCUGCGGUUUCAGCUUUUCUGUGGCAAACAGGGCCGAGGGCUGGUGAAGCUGUUAAGGCUAAAUGUCGCAUGCAUGAGGCGGGCUGCAGGCCUCCUUAGGCCUUUUUUGGGGUAAUUACACCAGUAUUUAAAAACAUUUUUUGUUUGUUUGUUUUGAGACGGAGUCUUGCCCUGUCACCCAGGCUGGAGUGCAAUGGUGCGAUCUCGGCUCACUGCAACCUCCGUCUCCCGGGUUCAAGCGAUUCUUCUGCCUCAGCCUUCUGAGUAGCUGGGAUUACACGCGUGUGCCACCACGCUCGGCUAAUUUUUGUAUUUUUAGUAGAGAUGGGAUUUCACCAUGUUGGCCAGGCUGGUCUCGAACUACUGACCUCGUGAUCCACCUGCCACGGCCUCCCAAAGUGCUGGGAUUACAGGCGUGAGCCACCAUGCUUGGCCUAAAAAACAAUUUUCUUGAAGAAUCCGAUUUGUGCAUAGUAAUGACACAGCACCAUUCCUGAGAAAUAGGAAAUAUAUGUGUGUGGUAUGAAAAGCCCAUAUUCUGUUCUUGUCACCUGAAUCUAAAGGCUUCCUCUUUGGAUGUGAACGCGGGAAUGAACAGUGGCUGUUUUCCACCCAAAGGGGCGUGGAGACCUUUUGGAAACGGGCUUUCUCCUUUCCAUUUUGCAGCUGGGGGCGGGUGGAAACCUUCCUUCGAAGGGUAGUGCCUUGGGGAGCAGCAGACCUGCUCUGAGUCCAGCUUAGCUUUCCAAAAUUCUGUGUGGAACUUACUGGAGAUGUUUUUAUAUAUUUGAAAAUAAUGGCCUGUAUUUCUCACGCUAUACUUAAAAAAAUAACUAACCUUUUAAACAAAGAUAUUCAAACUCA
Molecule: RNA transcript, 3720 nt
Organism: Pan troglodytes (chimpanzee)
Lineage: Eukaryota; Metazoa; Chordata; Mammalia; Primates; Hominidae
Gene: TP73-AS1
Gene name: TP73 antisense RNA 1
Exons: 6
Source: RefSeq, a predicted model, not a curated record